Non-coding RNA from Salmo salar (Atlantic salmon), 347 nucleotides. The record is from RefSeq and is a predicted model, not a curated record. NCBI's taxonomy places the organism in Eukaryota, Metazoa, Chordata, Actinopteri, Salmoniformes, Salmonidae.
AUUGCAUCCAAAGAUCAACUGUACCUAGAACAUAGAUACAGAGACACUUGUUAUCAGGAAGCUGCUCUCUCAGCCCAACGGAAAAUAUCUCAAUAACUUGACAUGUUCUGGUUGUGAAUUCAGGCUACAAGGGGUCACUGCUCUAAAAUGAGUCUCUCUUGGAAGAGAGAGAAGGGGGGCCCUGCCUCUAAAAGGAGUGUCUCUGGGGAACAUGGCACCAAAUCUAAGAGUCCAAUCAAGCAGGAGAGACCAGCCUCCCCUGUUCCCAGCUGUGUGUCCAUGAAGAGUGACCGGUCUAUGGGUCGUCCUCCAAACUUUAGAGAGGGAGACGUUUCUACUGAACAAAG